This 88-nucleotide ribosomal RNA is filed under the name Streptomyces albireticuli. Lineage: Bacteria; Bacillati; Actinomycetota; Actinomycetes; Kitasatosporales; Streptomycetaceae. The record is from RNAcentral. RNAcentral also lists the same sequence under 21 other names.
CGGUUACAUUCCGAACCCGGAAGCUAAGCCUUUCAGCGCCGAUGGUACUGCAUGGGGGACCGUGUGGGAGAGUAGGACGCCGCCGAAC